UGCGGAAUUGUGUAAGGGUAGCACUACUGACUCUGGAUCAGUCUGUGAGGGUUCGAAUCCUUCUUCCGCAGCCA
RNAcentral lists this transfer RNA (74 nucleotides) under Bacillota bacterium. RNAcentral's name for it is "Firmicutes bacterium (gut metagenome) tRNA-Gln". It matches the Rfam family "tRNA". From Rfam's summary of the family: Transfer RNA (tRNA) molecules are approximately 80 nucleotides in length. Lineage: Bacteria; Bacillati; Bacillota. The record is from RNAcentral.